CUGAGUUGUAAAGUUUUACAGUUGUACAAUUUAUCUCGUGUACUAAAAUAAUUAGAAUACAUCAUUUUAUGGAUUGAGAUUAAACAGAGUUUAAUUAUCAAAGCAGGCUGAAUUUACUAUGAGUUUAAAUCUCCUUUCAUUUGCAGAAGGAUUCUAGAAAACAACCCGUUAGCUAAUGACAUUGAGGAAAUUGAAGAACUCUGGAUGACUACAGUAUUAAAUUUGUCUUUACUGAGAAACCUCCUGACUCGGCACUGAUUUAUCUACAGAAAAUGUCUUCCCAACUUGUCAUACGUUCUUCUGUUUUUAUAUUGAAGUUGUUUUCAGUGAAAUAUGUUUUAUAACUUGAGCUUAGCUUUCUCCAUACAGGACUUUCACUGUACAGGUCUGCCAUGGGGCUAGCUACUGCAAGAUUUACUCAAAGAGUACAAAGUCUCCAAAGACCUGGCACAGAUCUGAAUCCUAGAGAAUAUCAUUCAGAACUAGUCAUCCUCAAGUUGAUCAUUGGUCCCAUACAAAGUUCAAAACAAAAGCUGUUUGACAAGAGUAACAUUCAGGAAGAUGUAAUGAAGAAGUUAAGUGCUGAAUAUUUCUGAAAACUCUUUAGUUCCUAAGGAAGUAAAUAAUAAAAUUGAAUUUCCUUAUCAGGCACUGAAAGCUUGAAAUGAUUCCUAGUGCAUUGUCACCUGCAGUUACGGAUGUCUCUCACCAGAGAAACCAUCUACUUUCU
RNAcentral lists this long non-coding RNA (730 nucleotides) under Rattus norvegicus (Norway rat). Its description in RNAcentral is "long non-coding RNA NONRATT033318". Lineage: Eukaryota; Metazoa; Chordata; Mammalia; Rodentia; Muridae. The record is from RNAcentral.